CUCGAUCACCACGUCGAACUCCGUCUUCUCCUCAACCACCGCCGGCGCGUCCGCCACAGCGCCGCCGGCACCCGCGGCGACUGCCACAGGGGCGAACGCCGCCGCGGAGACGCCGAGCUUGUCCUGGAGGAAGUCGACGAGGUUCUUGGCCUCCUCGAGCGUGAGUCCGGCGAUUUCGUCGCCGAGCUUGGUGAUUUUCUCCGGCGCCUCAACGGCGGAGACGACGACACGGGGGCGGCGCGUGGUGGCGGCGCGGUGGGAGAGAUUGGGGAAUUGGAGGGAGGAGGGUUUGGCGGAGAGGUGCGUAGGGUAAGAAGAGGAGGGUGUAGGAUAAGAUAGCGUGCGGAGGGUGAGGGUUGUUAGAGUUGUUGAGGCCAUUUUGUGAAGAAAGGUUUUUGC
RNAcentral lists this long non-coding RNA (399 nucleotides) under Glycine max (soybean). Its description in RNAcentral is "long non-coding RNA (GMAX_LNC002423)". Lineage: Eukaryota; Viridiplantae; Streptophyta; Magnoliopsida; Fabales; Fabaceae. The record is from RNAcentral.